RNAcentral lists this ribosomal RNA (497 nucleotides) under uncultured bacterium. RNAcentral's name for it is "partial 16S ribosomal RNA". It matches the Rfam family "Bacterial small subunit ribosomal RNA", at positions 28 to 507 of the family's 1533-position model. The record is from RNAcentral.
GAUGAACGCUGGCGGCGUGCCUAAUACAUGCAAGUCGAGCGAACAGACGAGGAGCUUGCUCCUCUGACGUUAGCGGCGGACGGGUGAGUAACACGUGGAUAACCUACCUAUAAGACUGGGAUAACUUCGGGAAACCGGAGCUAAUCCCGGAUAAUAUAUUGAACCGCAUGGCUCAAUAGUGAAAGACGGUUUUGCUGUCACUUAUAGAUGGAUCCGCGCCGCAGUAGCUAGUUAGUAAGGUAACGGCUUACCAAGGCGGCAAUGCGUAGCCGACCUGAGAGCAUGAUCUGCCACACUAGAACUGAGACAGGGUCAAGACUCUUACGGGAGGAAGCAGUAGGGAAGCUGCCGGAAUGGGAGAAAGCCGGACGGAGAAACGCCGCGGCAGUAAUGAAGGUCUUCGGAUCGUAAAACUCUGUUAGUAGGGAAGAACAAAUGUGUAAGUAACUAUGCACGUCUUGACGGUACCUAAUCAGAAAGCCAAGGCUAACUACGUG